UAAUACGGAGGAUGCGAGCGUUAUCCGGAUUUAUUGGGUUUAAAGGGUGCGUAGGCUGUUAUAUAAGUCAGUGGUGAAAUAUUCGGGCUCAACCGGGAUACUGCCAUUGAUACUGUAUAGCUGGAAUAUGGUUGCUGUGGGUGGAAUGUGUGGUGUAGCGGUGAAAUGCAUAGAUAUCACACAGAAUAUCGAUUGCGAAGGCAACUCACAAAGCCAUUAUUGACGCUGAUGCACGAAAGUGUGGGGAUCAAACAGGAUUAGAUACCCUGGUAGUCCACACUGUAAACGAUGAUAACUAGCUGUCGGCGAUAGAUAGUCGGUGGCUAAGCGAAAGCGAUAAGUUAUCCACCUGGGGAGUACGACCGCAAGGUUGAAACUCAAAGGAAUUGACGGGGGCCCGCACAAGCGGAGGAACAUGUGGUUUAAUUCGAUGAUACGCGAGGAACCUUACCCGGGCUCGAACGGUGCAGGAAUAUGGUAGAGAUAUCAUAGCUAGCAAUAGUCUGUAUCGAGGUGCUGCAUGGUUGUCGUCAGCUCGUGCCGUGAGGUGUCGGCUUAAGUGCCAUAACGAGCGCAACCCUUGUCGUUAGUUACCAUCAAGUAAAGUUGGGGACUCUAGCGAGACUGCCACCGUAAGGUGUGAGGAAGGGGGGGAUGACGUCAAAUCAGCACGGCCCUUACGUCCGGGGCGACACACGUGUUACAAUGGUAGGUACAGAGGGGCGCUAUCCAGUGAUGGAGUGCGAAUCUCAAAAACCUAUCUCAGUUCGGAUUGNAGUCUGCAACUCGACUCCAUGAAGUUGGAUUCGCUAGUAAUCGCGCAUCAGCCAUGGCGCGGUGAAUACGUUUCCCGGGNCUUGUACACACCGCCCGUCAAGCCAUGGAAGCCCGGGGGUGCCU
RNAcentral lists this ribosomal RNA (900 nucleotides) under uncultured Geobacter sp. Its description in RNAcentral is "bacterial SSU rRNA". It matches the Rfam family "Bacterial small subunit ribosomal RNA", at positions 521 to 1423 of the family's 1533-position model. Lineage: Bacteria; Pseudomonadati; Thermodesulfobacteriota; Desulfuromonadia; Geobacterales; Geobacteraceae. The record is from RNAcentral.